GCCCAGACUCCUACGGGAGGCAGCAGUGGGGAAUAUUGCACAAUGGGGGAAACCCUGAUGCAGCGACGCCGCGUGAGUGAAGAAGUAGUUCGGUAUGUAAAGCUCUCUCAGCAGGAAAGAAAAUGACGGUACCUGACUAAGAAGCCCCGGCUAACUACGUGCCAGCAGCCGCGGUAAUACGUAGGGGGCAAGCGUUAUCCGGAUUUACUGGGUGUAAAGGGAGCGUAGACGGUGAAGCAAGUCUGAAGUGAAAGGCGGGGGCUCAACCCCCGGACUGCUUUGGAAACUGUUUGACUGGAGUGCAGGAGAGGUAAGUGGGAUUCCUAGUGUAGCGGUGAAAUGCGUAGAUAUUAGGAGGAACACCAGUGGCGAAGGCGGCUUACUGGACUGUAACUGACGUUGAGGCUCGAAAGCGUGGGGAGCAAACAGGAUUAGAUACCCUAGUA
RNAcentral lists this ribosomal RNA (446 nucleotides) under uncultured bacterium. Its description in RNAcentral is "partial 16S ribosomal RNA". It matches the Rfam family "Bacterial small subunit ribosomal RNA", at positions 329 to 792 of the family's 1533-position model. The record is from RNAcentral.